AAGGAGUUUUUAUUGUGCACUGAUUGUUUCCACAGUUGUGGGUGGUCAGUGUUUUGCUGUGAUUGUUGUUCAUGCACCUGUAUGUGGGUGUGUGGGUUGCAGCGUUAUUAUUUUUUGUUUGUGGGUUUGCAUUCUGUUUUCACUUGGUUGAGUGGGUAUCAUUUUUUUUGUGUGUUGGCACGUUGUUGGGUGUCUCGGGCAGCACUUGUGUGUUGUUCGUUGACCAUCAUGGCUGUGGGUGAACGGUUUUUUGUUUGCUUGUGGUUGUGGUUGGUGUGGUGUGUGAGAACUGUAUAGUGGACGCGAGCAUCUGUGCGCAUGAUGCAGCUUUUGUUGUGUUGUGUGUGCUGUAAUUUUUUUCUUUUGUGUUUAUUUUGUUGUGUGUU
RNAcentral lists this unclassified non-coding RNA (386 nucleotides) under Corynebacterium pseudodiphtheriticum. Its description in RNAcentral is "16S-23S ribosomal RNA intergenic spacer region". Lineage: Bacteria; Bacillati; Actinomycetota; Actinomycetes; Mycobacteriales; Corynebacteriaceae. The record is from RNAcentral.